UAUGGAGCUUCAAUUAAUUAGCUCAAAAGGAUUUAUUUACCAGACCGACAGGAACAACAUAUUCCUUCCAUGAGCUAGCAAUUUAGGUUGGGGCGACCUCGGAGUACAAAAUAACCUCCGAGUGAUACUAAUCUAGACGUACCCGUCAAAAUGCUCACUCACUUAUUGAUCCAAAACUUCUUUGAUCAACGGAACAAGUUACCCU
Molecule: ribosomal RNA, 205 nt
Filed under: Ursus arctos (brown bear)
Lineage: Eukaryota; Metazoa; Chordata; Mammalia; Carnivora; Ursidae
Description: partial 16S ribosomal RNA
Source: RNAcentral